UAUAUAACGUACAUUACGAUCGAAAAUACGAUAUUCAAGGUUGGGUUAAAGCAAAACGACGACGCGACGGCCGUUUAAGCGACACACGAAAAAAAAAACGAGAAACCGGUGUGUGUGUGUGAAAUUGAAUAUUCAUGAACGCUGGUAUGUGCAGAGUGUUCGUGCAUGGUGCCAAUCCCCGUAUAGUACAUAAUAAAUACUAUUUACGUAUGUGUAUAUUAUAUAGUCGUGUCGAAGAGAGUGUGAAAAGAAAAUCGUAUAAGUAUAAUGUAACACACGGACAAACGGACUGUGGGCGAGGACAGAGGGUAAAAAGUACAAAAAUACGAAAAACCUCGUCGUGGUCGUAUAUACG
Cinara cedri is the source of this 355-nucleotide non-coding RNA. The record is from the annotation of a GenBank genome assembly. Lineage: Eukaryota; Metazoa; Arthropoda; Insecta; Hemiptera; Aphididae.